This 314-nucleotide unclassified non-coding RNA is filed under the name plant metagenome. RNAcentral describes it as "partial contains 5.8S ribosomal RNA, internal transcribed spacer 2, and large subunit ribosomal RNA". The stretch from base 1 to 105 matches the Rfam family "5.8S ribosomal RNA", at positions 50 to 154 of the family's 154-position model. The record is from RNAcentral.
GAAAUGCGAUAAUUAAUGUGAAUUGCAGAAUUCAGUGAAUCAUCGAGUCUUUGAACGCACAUUGCGCCCCCUGGUAUUCCGGGGGGCAUGCCUGUCCGAGCGUCAUUGCUGCCCUCAAGCACGGCUUGUGUGUUGGGCUUCCGUCCCUGGCAACGGGGACGGGCCCAAGAGGCAGUGGCGGCACCAUGUCUGGUCCUCGAGCGUAUGGGGCUUUGUCACCCGCUCCCGUAGGUCCAGCUGGCAGCUAGCCUCGCAACCAAUCUUUUUAACCAGGUUGACCUCGGAUCAGGUAGGGAUACCCGCUGAACUUAAGC